RNAcentral lists this ribosomal RNA (538 nucleotides) under Blastocystis hominis. RNAcentral's name for it is "SSU rRNA". It matches the Rfam family "Eukaryotic small subunit ribosomal RNA", at positions 17 to 571 of the family's 1831-position model. Lineage: Eukaryota; Bigyra; Opalinata; Blastocystidae. The record is from RNAcentral.
CCAGUAGUCAUACGCUCGUCUCAAAGAUUAAGCCAUGCAUGUGUAAGUAUAAAUAUUUAACUUUGAAACUGCGAAUGGCUCAUUAUAUCAGUUAUAGUUUAUUUGAUGAAAAGUACUACUUGGAUAACCGUAGUAAUUCUAGAGCUAAUACAUGAUAAAAUCCUCGACUUUGAAGAGGUGUAUUUAUUAGAAUGAAACCAAUAGACUUCGGUCUGUUUGUGAGUAAUAAUAACUAAUCGUAUCGCAUGCUUAGGUAGCGAUAUGUCUUUCAAGUUUCUGCCCUAUCAGCUUUGGAUGGUAGUGUAUUGGACUACCAUGGCAGUAACGGGUAACGAAGAAUUUGGGUUCGAUUUCGGAGAGGGAGCCUGAGAGAUGGCUACCACAUCCAAGGAAGGCAGCAGGCGCGUAAAUUACCCAAUCCUGACAUAGGGAGGUAGUGACAAUAAAUCACAAUGCGGAACUAUUAGUUUUGCAAUUGGAUUGAGAACAAUGUACAAAUGUUAUCGAUAAACAAUUGGAGGGCAAGUCUGGUGCCAGC